Oncorhynchus tshawytscha (Chinook salmon) is the source of this 687-nucleotide long non-coding RNA. The record is from Ensembl. Lineage: Eukaryota; Metazoa; Chordata; Actinopteri; Salmoniformes; Salmonidae.
GUAAUGUAUGUGUUUGGUGUGGAGAGGUAAUGUGUGGAUAGGUCACGUGUGGAGAGGUAAUGUAUGUGUUUGGGCAAUGUGUGGAGAGGUAAUGUGUGGAGAAGUAAUGUUGUUUGUUUGGGUAAUGUGUGGAGAGGUAAUAAAUGUAUGUGGGUAAUGUGCGGAGAGGUAUUGUGUGUGUUUGGUGUGGAGAGGUAAUGGUUGUGUGGAGAGGUAAUGUGUGUGUCUGGGUAACGUUUGGAGAGGUAAUGUGUGUGUUUGGGUAAUGUGUGGAGAGGUAAUAAAUGUGUUUGGGCAAUGUUUGGAGAGGUAAUGUAUGUGUUUGGGUAAUGUGUGGAGAGGUAAUGUAUGUGUUUGGGUAAUGUGUGGAGAGGUAAUGUGUGGAGAGGUAAUGUAUGUGUGUGGGUAAUGUAGGCAAUGUUUGUGUGGAGAGGUAAUGUAUGUGUCUGGGUAAUGUGUGGAGAGGUAAUGUAUAAUGUGUAUAAUGUGUGGAGAGGUAAUGUAGGAAAGUGUUUAGAGAGAGGGAGGACUGCAAGGAAAUGGUUUAGAGAGAGGGAGGACUGACAGGAAAUGGUUUAGAGAGAGAGAGGGAGGACUGACAGGAAAUGGUUUAGAGAGAGGGAGGACUGACAGGAAAUGGUUUAGAGAGAGGGAGGACUGACAGGAAAUGGUUUAGAGAGAGGGAAG